AUUGAACGCUGGCGGAAUGCUUUACACAUGCAAGUCGAACGGCAGCACGGGGGCAGCCCUGGUGGCGAGUGGCGAACGGGUGAGUAAUACAUCGGAACGUGCCCGGUCGUGGGGGAUAACGUAGCGAAAGUUACGCUAAUACCGCAUACGAUCUGAGGAUGAAAGCGGGGGACCUUCGGGCCUCGCGCGAUCGGAGCGGCCGAUGUCAGAUUAGGUAGUUGGUGGGGUAAAGGCCUACCAAGCCGACGAUCUGUAGCUGGUCUGAGAGGACGACCAGCCACACUGGGACUGAGACACGGCCCAGACUCCUACGGGAGGCAGCAGUGGGGAAUUUUGGACAAUGGGCGCAAGCCUGAUCCAGCCAUUCCGCGUGCAGGACGAAGGCCUUCGGGUUGUAAACUGCUUUUGUACGGAACGAAAAGGCUCUGGCUAAUACCUGGGGCUCAUGACGGUACCGUAAGAAUAAGCACCGGCUAACCACGUG
This 484-nucleotide ribosomal RNA is filed under the name uncultured bacterium. RNAcentral's name for it is "partial 16S ribosomal RNA". It matches the Rfam family "Bacterial small subunit ribosomal RNA", at positions 30 to 507 of the family's 1533-position model. The record is from RNAcentral.